Molecule: ribosomal RNA, 687 nt
Filed under: uncultured marine alpha proteobacterium
Lineage: Bacteria; Pseudomonadati; Pseudomonadota; Alphaproteobacteria
Description: bacterial SSU rRNA
Rfam family: Bacterial small subunit ribosomal RNA
Source: RNAcentral
UUUUCAGUGUCGCAGGGAAACCGAUAAACACACCGCCUGGGGAGUACGACCGCAAGGUUAAAACUCAAAUGAAUUGACGGGGACCCGCACAAGUAGUGGAGCAUGUGGUUUAAUUCGAAGAUACGCGCAGAACCUUACCAACACUUGACAUGUUCGUCGCGACUCUAAGAGAUUAGAGUUUUCGGUUUGGCCGGACGAAACACAGGUGCUGCAUGGCUGUCGUCAGCUCGUGUCGUGAGAUGUUGGGUUAAGUCCCGCAACGAGCGCAACCCUCACUUUUAGUUGCCAUCAUUAAGUUGGGCACUCUGAAAGAACUGCCAGUGAUAAGCUGGAGGAAGGUGGGGAUGACGUCAAGUCCUCAUGGCCCUUACGUGUUGGGCUACACACGUGCUACAAUGGUAUCUACAACAGGAAGCAAGACUGCGAAGUUUAGCAAAUCCCUAAAAGAUACCUCAGUUCGGAUUGCACUCUGCAACUCGAGUGCAUGAAGCUGGAAUUACUAGUAAUCGUGGAUCAGCGUGCCACGGUGAAUGCGUUCCCGGGUCUUGUACACACCGCCCGUCACACCAUGGGAGUUGGUUCUACCUUAAGGCAAGGUUUUAAACCCUUGACCACGGUAUAGUCAGCGACUGGGGUGAAGUCGUAACAAGGUAGCCGUAGGGGAACCUGCGGCUGGAUUACCUCCUU